GCCUGCAGGUUAGCUCAGUUGGUAGAGCACGAGACUUAUAAUCUCAGGGUUGUGAGUUUGAGCCCCACGUUGGGCA
Molecule: non-coding RNA, 76 nt
Organism: Podarcis lilfordi (Lilford's wall lizard)
Lineage: Eukaryota; Metazoa; Chordata; Lepidosauria; Squamata; Lacertidae
Source: the annotation of a GenBank genome assembly